This 66-nucleotide transfer RNA is filed under the name Cassianeura bimaculata. RNAcentral describes it as "tRNA-Val". The record is from RNAcentral. Lineage: Eukaryota; Metazoa; Arthropoda; Insecta; Hemiptera; Cicadellidae.
CAGGUUGUAGCUUAUAUUAUAAAGUAAUUUAUUUACAUUAAAUAGAAAUUUAUAUUUUCUUCCUGA